GUCCUAGUAGCUUAAUGAAAGCACCGGCUUUGUAAGCCGAAGAAUGGAAGCUCAACUCUCCCCUACGACA
This 70-nucleotide transfer RNA is filed under the name Oreolalax omeimontis (Omei lazy toad). RNAcentral describes it as "tRNA-Thr". It matches the Rfam family "tRNA". From Rfam's summary of the family: Transfer RNA (tRNA) molecules are approximately 80 nucleotides in length. Their secondary structure includes four short double-helical elements and three loops (D, anti-codon, and T loops). Lineage: Eukaryota; Metazoa; Chordata; Amphibia; Anura; Megophryidae. The record is from RNAcentral.